This 355-nucleotide unclassified non-coding RNA is filed under the name soil metagenome. RNAcentral describes it as "partial contains 5.8S ribosomal RNA, internal transcribed spacer 2, and large subunit ribosomal RNA". The stretch from base 1 to 120 matches the Rfam family "5.8S ribosomal RNA", at positions 35 to 154 of the family's 154-position model. The record is from RNAcentral.
GAUGAAGAACGUAGCGAAAAGCGAUAAGUAAUGUGAAUUGCAGAAUUCAGUGAAUCAUCGAAUCUUUGAACGCACAUUGCGCCCAUUAGUAUUCUAGUGGGCAUGCCUGUUCGAGCGUCAUUAAGUCCACUUAAGCCCUGCUUAGUGUUGGGAGACUGCUCCAGCGGUGCUACCCUGUAGCUACCCUGCAGCUCCUCAAAGACAGCGGCGGAGUUGUGGUAUCCUCUGAGCUUAGUAACUUGUUCUAGCUUUCGAGUACACCACUUCCCCUGCCGUAAAACCCUUAAUUUUUAAUGGUUGACCUCGGAUCAGGUAGGAAUACCCGCUGAACUUAAGCAUAUCAAUAAGCGGAGGA